GCAGUGGUAGUUCAGUAGUAGAAUUCUUGCCUACCAUGUGGGAGACCUGGGUUCGAUUCUCAGCCAGCA
RNAcentral lists this transfer RNA (69 nucleotides) under Loxodonta africana (African savanna elephant). It matches the Rfam family "tRNA". From Rfam's summary of the family: Transfer RNA (tRNA) molecules are approximately 80 nucleotides in length. Lineage: Eukaryota; Metazoa; Chordata; Mammalia; Proboscidea; Elephantidae. The record is from Rfam by way of RNAcentral.